GAUGAACGCUGGCGGCGUGCCUAAUACAUGCAAGUCGAGCGAACAGAUGAGGAGCUUGCGCCGCUGACGUUAGCGGCGGGCGGGUGAGUAACACGUGGAUAACCUACCUAUAAGACGGGGAUAACUUCGGGAAACCGGAGCUAAUACGGGAGAAUAUAUUGAAGCGCAUGGGUCAAUAGUGAAAGACGGUGUUGCGGGCACGUAUAGAUGGAUCCGCGCCGGAUUAGCUAGUUGGGGAGGUAACGGCUUACCAAGGGAACGAUGCGUAGCCGACCGCAGAGGGUGAUAGGCCACACUGGAACGUGAACACGGUCAAGACUCCUACGAGAGGCAGCAGUAGCCAACCUUCCGCAAUGGGCGAAAGCCUGACGGAGCAACGCCGCGCGAGUGAUGACGGUCUUCCGAUCGUAAAACUCUGUUAUUAGGGAAGAACAAAUGUGUCCGUAACUAUGCCCGUCUUGACGGUACCUAAUCAGAAAGCCCCGGCUAACUACGUG
RNAcentral lists this ribosomal RNA (497 nucleotides) under uncultured bacterium. Its description in RNAcentral is "partial 16S ribosomal RNA". It matches the Rfam family "Bacterial small subunit ribosomal RNA", at positions 28 to 507 of the family's 1533-position model. The record is from RNAcentral.